RNAcentral lists this long non-coding RNA (1143 nucleotides) under Nicotiana benthamiana. Its description in RNAcentral is "long non-coding RNA (NBEN_LNC042387)". The record is from RNAcentral. Lineage: Eukaryota; Viridiplantae; Streptophyta; Magnoliopsida; Solanales; Solanaceae.
GAACCCCUAAAAUCAACGCGUACUGUUGUUCUUCUCCGAAGAAUACGCGAACCAAGCCCCAAAUUCCGUUCAAAUCCGGGCGAGUGAAUCCCAAAUCCCUAAUUCACGCAUCCCUUCUUCUCUCAUCUCACCAUUUAUGAUGAUUUCUGACACUAAAGAUUCUCCCCCUUCACUCGCUCAAGUCGGAGAUGAAGCACGCAAUUGGAAGGUCCUAGAGAUGGAUUGUUGGAUGAGGAUAAGUCGUUGGAUUGACUUCGUUCAAUCCCAGCCCCAUUUUCAUCAAGGGUUCGUCUCUAUAAAGGACGAUAUCCGAUUUUAAGAGCUGGGUUUUUUUUUGGACGAGAGGAUCUGAAGGGAGAUUCGAGAGGAAGUAAAAUUCUAGAGAUUAGUCUUCUUCAUAUUUAUUGUUGGUCUUCACUCGUAGCGUUAAUUUACAAACAUAUACAAAAAUGUUUGAUAUUUUUUUAUUUUAAUGUUGUUCGGUUCACUAUCGACCAACUUCGAAAUACAUGAAUUCCGUCGUCAAAGUUACUGGAAUUCGUUGUUGAUCGAGGCAUCGAUUUGUGGCUGUUGCACUGUGUCGAUUUCAAGUGUUGAGAUUCCUUCAAAUUUUUUCAUCCCAGGUUCACCUCUACUCCUUAUUUUAUUUCUAUUAUGAAGUGAGUCCUGGAAGGCCCUGGACGGAUUGUAAAAUGAAUUCAGUUAUGAUAGUAGAUGAGGUUUGUAUGGUUAUCUUCAAUUUCAUUUAUUGUUAUGCUUUUACGUUUUCCAUGAGUUCAUAUGUUAUUGAGUCAGUUUCUAAAUAGUCGAAGAUUAAAUGUGUUUGGUUUCAACAUCGUAUUUGUGUUUGUAUUGACUUUGUAGAUUGUUUUUGGUAUCAUCUUUCGGAUUAGACUUGCUUCGAACAUGACUCAUGCUGAUGUUGCAAACUUGGUAGAUUGGUAUCCUUAUAUAGUGUCAAGGUUGUUUCCCUGUUGCAUCUGUUCGAGAAUAAGCUUUGAUGAGCAUAAAUUGCUGAUGUUUGAAUCAUGAAUGAGUGUUUAAGUCGCCUUUGAGAUGCUGAGAAUUGGAUACCAUCAUAUAACCUAGAUUCUAACUGUCACCAAUUCUUCUCGUUUUCUCUCUUUGCUAGUUUUGGUUUUC